UUUCCGUAGGUGAACCUGCGGAAGGAUCAUUAUUGUAUAACCGAGGUGCGAGGGCUGUCGCUGACCCGAAAGGACGUGCACGCCCGAGUGCCCUCACACACAUCCAUCUCACCCCUAUGUGCACCACCGCGUGGGUCACCCUUUGGCUUGUUCGGAGGGGGGCUUACGUUUUCACACAAACUUUGUAUGCAGUGUAGAAUGUAUUUUUUGUUUUUGCGAUCACGCAAUCAAUACAACUUUCAACAACGGAUCUCUUGGCUCUC
RNAcentral lists this unclassified non-coding RNA (263 nucleotides) under plant metagenome. RNAcentral describes it as "partial contains small subunit ribosomal RNA, internal transcribed spacer 1, and 5.8S ribosomal RNA". The record is from RNAcentral.